Molecule: ribosomal RNA, 253 nt
Filed under: uncultured bacterium
Lineage: Bacteria
Description: partial 16S ribosomal RNA
Rfam family: Bacterial small subunit ribosomal RNA
Source: RNAcentral
UACGUAGGGUGCGAGCGUUAAUCGGAAUUACUGGGCGUAAAGGGCGCGCAGGCGGCUCCGCAUGUCAGGCGUGAAAUCCCCGAGCUUAACUUGGGAAUUGCGCUUGAAACUACGGGGCUGGAGUGUGGCAGAGGGAGGUGGAAUUCCACGUGUAGCGGUGAAAUGCGUAGAGAUGUGGAGGAACACCGAUGGCGAAGGCAGCCUCCUGGGCCAACACUGACGCUCAUGCACGAAAGCGUGGGGAGCAAACAGG